Molecule: non-coding RNA, 119 nt
Organism: Lupinus angustifolius (narrow-leaved blue lupine)
Lineage: Eukaryota; Viridiplantae; Streptophyta; Magnoliopsida; Fabales; Fabaceae
Source: Rfam
AGGUGCACUCAUACCAGCACUAAUGCACCAGAUCCCAUUAGAACUCCGAAGGUAAGCGUGCUUAGGCGAAAGUACUACUAGGAUGGAUGACCUCCUGGGAAGUCCUUGUGCUGCACCUC